RNAcentral lists this ribosomal RNA (497 nucleotides) under uncultured bacterium. RNAcentral's name for it is "partial 16S ribosomal RNA". It matches the Rfam family "Bacterial small subunit ribosomal RNA", at positions 28 to 507 of the family's 1533-position model. The record is from RNAcentral.
GACGAACGCUGGCGGCGUGCCUAAUACAUGCAAGUUGAGCGAUGAAGAUUGGUGCUUGCUCCAAUUUGAAGAGCAGCGAACGGGUGAGUAACGCGUGGGGAAUCUGCCUUUGAGCGGGGGACAACAUUUGGAAACGAAUGCUAAUACCGCAUAACAACUUUAAACAUAAGUUUUAAGUUUGAAAGAUGCAAUUGCAUCACUCAAAGAUGAUCCCGCGUUGUAUUAGCUAGUUUGUGAGGUAAAGGCUCACCAAGGCGAGGAUACAUAGCCGACCUGAGAGGGUGGUCGGCCACAUUGGGACUGAGACACGGCCCAACCUCCUACGGGAGGCAGCAGUAGGGAAUCUUCGGCAAUGGACGAAAGUCUGACCGAUCAACGCCGCGUGAGUGAAGAAGGUUGUCGGAUCGUAUAACUCUGUUGGUAGAGAAGAACGUUGGUGAGAGUGGAAAGCUCAUCAAGUGACGGUAACUACACAGAAAGCGACGGCUAACUACGUG